GAUGAACGCUGGCGGCGUGCCUAAUACAUGCAAGUCGAGCGAACAGACGAGGAGCUUGCUCCUCUGACGUUAGCGGCGGACGGGUGAGUAACACGUGGAUAACCUACCUAUAAGACUGGGAUAACUUCGGGAAACCGGGGCUAAUACCGGAUAAUAUAUUGAACCGCAUGGUUCAAUAGUGAAAGACGGUUUUGCUGUCACUUAUAGAUGGAUCCGCGCCGCAUUAGCUAGUUGGUAAAGUAACGGCUUACCAAGGCAACGAUGCGUAGCCGACCUGAGAGGGUGAUCGGCCACACUGGAACUGAGACACGGUCCAGACUCCUACGGGAGGCAGCAGUAGGGAAUCUUCCGCAAUGGGCGAAAGCUUGACGGAGCAACGCUGCGUGAGUGAUGAAGGUCUUCGGAUCGUAAAACUCUGUUAUUAGGGAAGAACAAAUGUGUAAGUAACUAUGCACGUCUUGACGGUACCUAAUCAGAAAGCCACGGCUAACUACGUG
This 497-nucleotide ribosomal RNA is filed under the name uncultured bacterium. Its description in RNAcentral is "partial 16S ribosomal RNA". It matches the Rfam family "Bacterial small subunit ribosomal RNA", at positions 28 to 507 of the family's 1533-position model. The record is from RNAcentral.